Molecule: transfer RNA, 72 nt
Filed under: Phrynosoma platyrhinos (Desert horned lizard)
Lineage: Eukaryota; Metazoa; Chordata; Lepidosauria; Squamata; Phrynosomatidae
Description: tRNA-OTHER
Source: RNAcentral
CACAGUGUGGCAUAGUGGUUUGAGUGUUGGACUACGACUCUGGAGGCCAGGGUUCGAUUCCCAGCUUGGCCA